GGGCCUGUAGCUCAGUUGGCAGAGCAUCGGACUUUUAAUCCGCGGGUCGCGGGUUCGAGCCCCGCCGGGCCCACCC
RNAcentral lists this transfer RNA (76 nucleotides) under Microbacterium sp. CH12i. Its description in RNAcentral is "tRNA-Lys". It matches the Rfam family "tRNA". From Rfam's summary of the family: Transfer RNA (tRNA) molecules are approximately 80 nucleotides in length. Their secondary structure includes four short double-helical elements and three loops (D, anti-codon, and T loops). The record is from RNAcentral. Lineage: Bacteria; Bacillati; Actinomycetota; Actinomycetes; Micrococcales; Microbacteriaceae.